Molecule: long non-coding RNA, 6935 nt
Filed under: Paramuricea clavata
Lineage: Eukaryota; Metazoa; Cnidaria; Anthozoa; Malacalcyonacea; Plexauridae
Source: RNAcentral
CAUAAUUAACCCACGCAACGACGAGCUACGCAAAUAGUAACCCCCAACAAAUGUGAGCCACUCUCAUACUUACAUUGCUAGAAAUACGUGCUGAGUUAACGUGCCUGCAUCAAUCAGAAUUUCUUCAUUUUAAUCAACAUUUCAAUUCAUUCUCCUUGGUUGAACAUAUCCAGGAUGGCAACAAAUCCACGCUUUGCUCUUCUCCAAGGUAAAACUUCGCGGCAUUUUUCUACACACCAGGGGAUUUUUCGACCUGACAAGAGAGCAGUGAAUUAGCAAUCAGUAUAUUUGGGGAGUAAUGUCUUAUCGACACAAUUAAUAUCAUUAGUGGGCAGUAAAAGAUUUAUGAAUCUCACAUUACAAUUUGGUUAAAUGUAUUUUUGGGAGGCGUAUUGUGUCAACCUAAACAUGUUGUCAAUAGCACUGUAAUAUUGCUUGUUUUAGCUAGAUGAGAUUUGUAAGGGCCAAGCUCAUAAAUAGUAUAGGUUAACCAGUACCACAACGUACACAGAAUAGUGUACAAUCAAACCUUGGUUGAAUUUUUCGGUAUUUAUGAUGUUGACACGAAAUGGGUUGUUAGAUUUGAAUUAAUUGAAAGUCAUUAAAUUUGACUUCUUUUGCUUAAUGUUCGGUUCAUGGUCAAAAUCUUUUAAAUAAAUCGAUGGUAUAUCGUAGCUAAUUAACCGGUUGUCUCACUGAUGUUCAUUGUCAAAGUGUUAUGAAGGUAUUCAGGAUUUUUAUUGGUUUACUAGGGAACACUACACGCGGUAAAACGCUUGUAUAUUUUCAAGUUUAGCUUAUAUUGUUGAAAUUCUCUGUGUUCUCCAUAUAUUUAUGCUAAUAGCUGGCAGCUUCCUUGGAAUUUAUUGUGAGAGAGCAAUCAUGCAUGCUAAAUGAUCCCGCGGUUUCGAAUACAGGGUCUAAAGUAUGGUCAAUUGGAAGGGACCUUUUCACACUUUUGGCGCAAUAAAUAAGUUCACGAGCGAAGUAGCGAGAUGUUUUUUUGACCUGCUUGUUUCGUAUACGACUGUUGGCAAGUUCAAAAGACUUUGACGUUUCGGAAGUGACUGAAUUAUUUUCCUAAGUGAAUUCCAUUAGAAUUAUCAAAGACGAAUUCCAAUGAAUAUAACGUCGAUUAAAUUGGCUGCCAAAACGUUUCUGACUUCAUCACGGUCUAAAAAUCUUUUAUGUUUGCGUUGCAUACUUUGAAUAGAAAGGUACUUUACUUAAUAAGGACCAUUACUCCCUUAACGUAACUUAUUCCCACUGCUGACGAACGGCUCAAAAUGUCACAAUUUUAUGGCUGAAAAGGUCGACAAAUACAUAGUCACUUAAGAUGUUUUAAUUUAUAUUUAAGCGGAUUAUUCUCAAUGUAUAUAAAAGUUGAUAUACAGGUUCUUUGUGGUAGUUUGUAAAACAAUUGUAAAACAGUUUACAACUGUAAAAGUAGUGCAUAGAACACUGAAGUUCAGAACUGAAACCAUAACCAUAGGCAUAGCCAUAUAGGCUCUUCAUCAUGACAGAUGAGAAGGGUCUGUUUUUUUCGAGUGAAUAGGUUUUUUCUUAGCGUAGGUAGCAUCUGAUAUUUGCUCACAGAAAAAAUAAAUCUAAAAAAAAUCAACGACAACGUAUUAUAUUAACCCCAGGCUUAAAUAUCGAAGAAAAAUUCUGAGAGUAAAAAAACCCCUUAAUUUAUUUACUUAUUUAAAUUUGCCACAUAACUUAGUGACAGGGACAUCGUCAUAACAGAAUAUAUACCAAUUCUGUCUAGCGCUAAUCAAGUUUAAUCGUAAGUAAGAGAGAAAUACGAAACAGUUAUUAAACAUGAAUCACAAUCAUCAGUAAGUUAAAUAAUACCUCUGCAGAGUUCCAGCUAUAAGCAACCUGAGGAUCAUAUCAUAAAACCACAUGCAUCACAUGUGUGCUGUGCCAAAAAAUUGAUGAAACAUGAGAACUUGAUACAUUUACAGCGUACUAUACAGUUUACACAAAAUAAAAUGAUGCCUUUUCAUGAUGGUUUUCAAAAUAAUCUAGUGAAACUUCUUGUUAAAAAGUUUGUUUUCCUUACGAAUACAUAAAGCAGUUUGCAGCAAAAUACACUUUACCACAGAUUUGGCGUGGAACUUGUUUUAAAAUUUAUACAAAUAUAUAGAGACAUAUUUUUGAGGUAGUUUCGAAAAAGGUUUCCAGGCAUUGGGUUUUACAUCAAUUGGUUAAAUUUUUAGAUUCCUAUGAGCAUGAGCUGGGUGCCAUAAUAAUGCAUUAAUGGUUACAAAUUCAACAAGUUUAUAUUUCUAUCUGAAUCUCAUGUACAUAAAGAACUUUAACAUCGUCUUCUUCACACAUGCACUGAAGAUGUCCAUGACACUUCAUGAAGAUGUCCACGCGACAGAACUUUAACAUCUUCUUUUUCACAUAUCCAUUGAAGAUGUUCACGACAGUUUUCGCCUGAUAAUUUUUGGUUCAUUUAUACUUCUUAUCGAAUUUUGUGCUGUAAUGGAGUGAAAUGACGACAAAUGGGAUGGUAAUGAUCAGCAAUAAAGGAUAUUACUUAUUAUCGCUAGAUCUGUAUCGCAAAAACUCGAUUACAAUUCACGACAGUUCUAUAGUCAUUGACUAAAUCAGAGUUUAAUCGUGCAUGUAUGCAGGCAAAGGAUACUAUAUGACAGUGUGUCUUCCAUUAAAAUUUAUGUCUUUGCAUGAGAAGACUUUUGAAAAGUCAGAUUUAAUCACAUGAUUGCUGUACUUUAAGUUUAAGAGUCUUCUUUUCAAAGUUUUAAUUACGUGGGUGUGACGUCAUUGGAGUGUUAUCGAAAAACGAUAAAAAUACGUUGGCUUGAAACGAGAGUUCAAUAUAUAAGUGUUGUCAUGAUCAAUAGUAUAAUUUAGCUAGGUCACUGGGAUCUCAGGUAGCGAUGGGUAAAAAACGCAUAUUUUGCGGUAAAAUUGUUAGUCUAUAAACAUGGUAACUUAUCAAGUUUAGAGUGAUAAGAAUCUACGGCAAAAGAGAUGGUCUCGAGAUCGCAACGUAAAUCUGAAAGUGACAGCACAAUGAGACGUGUCAACUUUUCCCUCGCUAAUUAUUUUACUCAAUAUGCAGCUUGUUUAUAAACAUGGGAAUAUUUUCCAGGAAUCUUGUAUGGAUCAAUAUAGACGUUUUAUUUUCCAAAGUUUUCAACAGACGUGCUUCUAUAUACACAGACCAAAUCACUGAAAUCAGCAGGUUAAAUUUAGAUCCAGGGUUAGCGCUAAUCCAGUUUUGAACAACCUGGCCCUGUGUAUUUUGGGCAUGCAAACUCAUGAGGUGCAAAUGCAAACACGUAUAAAAUUUAAGGUGAAAUGGUAUGAUUUUAGUUGUCAAUGGAAAAGCCUAACUAUCAAUCAUAAUGCAUGGGGUAAAUCCUUCCGUCCAUACAUGAAUUGAAAUUACGAGUAAGUUUAUUACUGCAAACGUUAAUACUAUAUUUAUCACAACGUGUUUUACGUAGUGUUUCCACAAACAAAAGUUUAUAUGUAAGUUAUCGCCAUGCAAACCUACAAAGAACUUACCAGUAGUAAGUUAUUACAUUCAAUUUUAUAAAAGUAUAGUCUACAUGCACCUACAGAUAUUCGUAUAACCAGCUAAAUAUUAUGUUGAAAGAAACCAACUCCCACGUUUCAAAUAGAGAAAAACGAAAGAAGUCAAUUCCCUAUGUAACAAUUAAAAUUUUUUUAUGAUUGAUGUAGUGGCGUUAAUAUAUCACUGAUUCACUAUAAUUGCACCUAACAAUAUAAUUUGCAAAUUUAACGUUCCUCAUUUUCCAAGCAUUAUAACUAACAUAAAGCAGUCUUUCAUUGUUUCUGAUACUGAUACUUCCACAAAGCUUUGUUUCUUUGAUAAAGUGAUAAGUAUACAUUUUACUAAAUGUCACUACCGUCAAAUGUAUAGGUUUUUCACUUUCUAUAAUGGCUGUUCACCUUCAUGCACUCAUGAGUUAGAUAUGUAUUUGCACGAAAGAACCUGAUAAGGUUCUUAGAAAAAAAUUAAACAAAUUAGACAAAUAGAAAGAAAACCUUAACCUGGAAAAAAAUAUCCCGCACAACCAAAUCCCCAGAAAAAAUUCGUGCACAUCUUUUGGAACAAUUUUAAAGUUAAAUAUGCAUGGCUAUUACUGUCAAAUGGUCUCCCAGAAUGCUGGAAUUAGCCAUUCCCGAGAGGUAUAGAUUUUCAAAAUGAGUGCGGAUUGAAAAUAUUGUUUGAACGUUCUUAACAACAGGAUGUAAUCCAUCUGAUUGUUCUAGAAGCCAAGAUCAAAUGCUGUUCAUUAUAUAUGUGAGGUUUAAAAAUAUAGACUCGCAAAAAAUAUCCUGCAAGCAGUCAGGGCGAAAGAAAAAAUUAAUUGCAAGUAAAAAAUAUCCUGCACAGAAAAUCGCCCCCCCCCCCCAUAAAAAAUCGAAUGGUCCGUCCCUAAUCCUCACAUGAUGCGAGGUAUUUAAUUGAAGAACGAAACUCCUGGAUUAGACAUGUUGACUCAAGUCGUGUAGUGUACUUUAAGUCGUUUGUUUAAUUGCUUCAAUAUCUUGAUAUGUAAUCCCACAUGAAUAAUUGCAUAUACAUUGCGCCUAAAUAAUUUUGUGUUUUUAAUUUAAAUCAAGGAUCACACAAGAGGUUUUUGAUAAUACUUUUAUUUUAGCUACGUUUCGGAUACGGUUUACUAUCCGUCCUCAGGCUAACAAAUUGUCCUAUUGUUCUAGAACAAUUUGUUAGCCUGAGGACGGAUAGUAAACUAUCCGAAACGUAGCUAAAAUAAAAGUAUUAUCAAAAACCUCUUGUGUGAUCCUUGAUUUAAAUUAAAAACACAAAAUUAUUUAAUAUGAACAGAGGUGAAAGUUUCAGAAAAGCAAUUACAUUGCGCCUGUUUUAAAGAAUCAUUUUCGAAAUACACGGAACUGGAAAAUAGCCUAAUAGUUGAAUGAAACUCUAUUGGUGCUAUAAGCUUAAAUUGAAAGUAUUUUCGAGUUCCUCUAUUGUUCAAGGAAAUGGGUGAACGUACGUGUUUCAACUUCAAGAAUGCAGUAUUUUUGGCGUGUAUAAUCGGAUUACAGUGAAAUCGUAUUGUCAUUGUCAUUGAACCCGUCAAGUCCAAAACGUGUUGGAAAUCGGUUUAAAAUUGCGGGUGACUUUCUUCCAAAAAUAAAUAUCCCAAACGAAUGACAUCACGAUUUUGGUUUACAGUUGUUUAGAACAUCGGUGGUCGUGGUGUUUUUCAGGUGUUUAUUUUUUUUGGUUGAUGUUACUCUGAGUAUUUCCACACCUGCAUGUAGGCAAGCUGAUUUCCAUUGCUUGGCCGCGAUGGGAAUCGAACGUGCGAAUUUUGGCUUGCCAGUCCAGAUACCCACCGCGGUCAAGCACCUUUGCUGCCGGGUGUGAAGACACUCAGGAUAAUAUCAAAGAAAAAAAUCAAGAAUUUUCCUUAUUUUAUGCAGUAACCCAACUCUCGACUCUCGUGCGGUCAUCACGUAGCAUGCCAAAGCGCCUAGGUAUCUUUCUCUGAUCCAUCCUCGGUUCCCAGGGCCUCCGAGGGUGUCUCUGAUCCGUUAAUUAUAACACAAUCACUGAAAAUACUAUCCUAAAACGUAUCUUGUCUUCCUGUUUUGUAAAGCUAUUUUAUUUUUAGUUAAUACAAACGUCCAUGAUUGCUAGAAAUAGUAACUCUCCCCCUCCUCUAGUACAAUGUACGUGUUGGUUAAUUCAAACGAUAUAGGACCGUACCACGAGGCAACAUUGUAAACGGGGAAGGGGAAAAUUUGUGAAAUUUUUCUAUAGACUAUCACGAAUUAAUUUCAAUGAUUGCACUAAUGGGGUGUGCUCGAGGCGCAGUUCUGAGCAAAAUGUGCGUUUCACCUGGACGACAGGGAUUCAAGUUGUCUUCGGCAUGAGUGGACACCGCUCUCCGUGUUUUCCACCAUACCCCAUGCUAACAAAAGGAGUUGACUCAUGUCACAUGCAGGUUUUCUCCGGUACUCCGUAAAGGCCGGUUUCCACUAGGCGGAAUUUUCCGCGCGAAGCGGAAUUUUUCUUUGUCUUGUGAUUUCUCGGGUGGACCUAAUUAAAAAAGACAACGAGAAAUUCCGCUCCACGCGGAAAAUUCCACCUAGUGGAAAAUGGCCUUUACUAAACCUCUAGGAAGAACAGUUCGAACUGGGUUGGACUAACCUGUCUAUAAAAAGAUUAGUUUAGUUUGAUAAACUGAUUGGAAACGCAUUUGUCUUUGGGUCACAUCAGCUCUUUUUUCCAUAGUAUAGCAGCGAUUUGCGAACGUCAUUCUUUCCUAACGUAAAGAAAAAUAUUGUCAGGCAUUAAAAUAGCGUGUCCUUGUACACACUUUGUGUCCUUGUAAAAGGCGAAUGUGCCCUUGUAAAUUGGAAAGUGUGUACUUGAAAAUAUAUUAAACUGAAAAUAUAUUAAUGUAAUACACGCAAAAUGGCCAAAGAUUUUGCAAAUUCUGUUCUCAGAACUCUGGAAAUGCCAUUUCAGAGACCCGCUUAAAAGCUCGCGUCUUCGACGUUAAACUUGUGAGUUGUGGCUUCGCCACUCGUUCUCAUGAGUCUGCACAUUUAUACAAAAAAUACGCCUCUGAAGGCAAAGUGUGUCCUUGUAAAAAUUCCGUAUUUUAAUGCCUGAAUAUUGUAUACUAUAUAAGUAAAUGUUAUACUACUCUUUCUUAUUACUUCCAAAUGCAAAAUUGUGGGAAAACGGACUUUCUUUGGGGUACAAAAAACUUCAGAAGAUUACGUCAUCCUCUGCGUCUACCGGAAUACCCGCCUAUCACUGCGCCCAUCUUCAUUCGGAAACCCUUAUUUUUUCCCUGUUUCUUUCGCAGAUGUAACACGUGAUCUCAUAGCUUCAAGUACUUUGGCGGCAUUUCAACCCAGCAUAAAUGGUAAGUCAUGGC